This 497-nucleotide ribosomal RNA is filed under the name uncultured bacterium. Its description in RNAcentral is "partial 16S ribosomal RNA". It matches the Rfam family "Bacterial small subunit ribosomal RNA", at positions 28 to 507 of the family's 1533-position model. The record is from RNAcentral.
GAUGAACGCUGGCGGCGUGCCUAAUACAUGCAAGUCGAGCGAACAGACGAGGAGCUUGCUCCUCUGACGUUAGCGGCGGACGGGUGAGUAACACGUGGAUAACCUACCUAUAAGACUGGGAUAACUUCGGGAAACCGGAGCUAAUACCGGAUAAUAUAUUGAACCGCAUGGUUCAAUAGUGAAAGACGGUUUUGCUGUCACUUAUAGAUGGAUCCGCGCCGCAUUAGCUAGUUGGUAAGGUAACGGCUUACCAAGGCAACGAUGCGUAGCCGACCUGAGAGGGUGAUCGGCCACACUGGAACUGAGGCACGGUCCAGACUCCUACGGGAGGCAGCAGUAGGGAAUCUUCCGCAAUGGGCGAAAGCCUGACGGAGCAACGCCGCGUGAGUGAUGAAGGUCCUCGGAUCGUAAAACUCUGUUAUUAGGGAAGAACAAAUGUGUAAGUAACUAUGCACGUCUUGACGGUACCUAAUCAGAAAGCCACGGCUAACUACGUG